Molecule: long non-coding RNA, 809 nt
Filed under: Nicotiana benthamiana
Lineage: Eukaryota; Viridiplantae; Streptophyta; Magnoliopsida; Solanales; Solanaceae
Description: long non-coding RNA (NBEN_LNC009620)
Source: RNAcentral
UCUGCACUAUUAGAAUAGCAUAGAAUUUCAGGUCAAAUGAGCUUUACAAAAAUAUUUCAUUCUACCUGAAGAAGUUACAGAAACAUAUCCAUCCAAACCAUAAGAACUUCUGAGAUAGAACUUCCUCAGUCCUUGACUGAUGCUACAAUAUAACUUUAGUAUGACAGGGAGUAACUGAAGCUACUGGGGUGGUGGGGGUAAGAGGAAAUGACGUGACAUAAAAUGUAGUUAUAUGCAGUAUUACCCAUAUUUUGGCUUCCUUGAAGUUGCCAGGAUAUAAGAUCAAAGCUUUAUUUAAGUGAACAUAUAACUAAUCAGCUUAUUAUAGCUAGAAACCAGUGCAUGAUCAUGUCAUAGCACUCUCAAAAACAAUGCAUCUAUAAGAUGACCAGAAAGUCUCCUCAAAUAAUACAAAUCAUAUCAUUGCUUAGCUUAGCAUCUCUUUCAAUAAUAGAGGUUGAGGGAAAAAGAGAGCUUAGAUCACCAAUCCUGCUUAUAAAAGAUCCCGCAUCCGUCACGCUUCUGCCCACUUCUUUGGACGUAGAUACUUGAAUAACCAAAACUCUCUAUAUUUCUUUUAUAGAAGCUAUCAUAUUCAUCCAACUCCUAGCACAUAAAACAAUUGAUCAAAAGAUAGAUGCUUGAAUAACCAAAACUCUCUAUAUUUCUUUUAUAGAAGCUAUCAUAUUCAUCCAACUCCUAGCACAUAAAACAAUUGAUCAAAAGAUAACCUAGAAAAAGUUAGAAGUUGUUGUUAGAAGGACAAUGGAUGGAUGAAUGUUACUAAAUCUUAAUUAUCAAACAAUUCA